Molecule: ribosomal RNA, 252 nt
Filed under: uncultured bacterium
Lineage: Bacteria
Description: partial 16S ribosomal RNA
Rfam family: Bacterial small subunit ribosomal RNA
Source: RNAcentral
UACGGAGGAUGCGAGCGUUAUCCGGAUUUAUUGGGUUUAAAGGGUGCGUAGGCGGGCUGUUAAGUCAGCGGUAAAAGCCCGGGGCCCAACCCCGGCGAGCCGUUGAAACUGGCUGUCUUGAGAUGUCGAGAGGUAUGCGGAAUGCGCAGUGUAGCGGUGAAAUGCUUAGAUAUUGCGCAGAACUCCGAUUGCGAAGGCAGCAUACCGGCGGCGAUCUGACGCUGAGGCACGAAGGCGUGGGUAUCGAACAGG